This 192-nucleotide ribosomal RNA is filed under the name uncultured Actinomycetales bacterium. RNAcentral's name for it is "partial 16S ribosomal RNA". It matches the Rfam family "Bacterial small subunit ribosomal RNA", at positions 138 to 334 of the family's 1533-position model. Lineage: Bacteria; Bacillati; Actinomycetota; Actinomycetes; Actinomycetales. The record is from RNAcentral.
UCGGGAUAAGCCUGGGAAACUGGGUCUAAUACCGGAUAGGACGAUGGUUUGGAUGCCAUUGUGGAAAGUUUUUCGGUGUGGGAUGAGCUCGCGGCCUAUCAGCUUGUUGGUGGGGUAAUGGCCUACCAAGGCGUCGACGGGUAGCCGGCCUGAGAGGGUGUACGGCCACAUUGGGACUGAGAUACGGCCCAG